Long non-coding RNA from Raphanus sativus (radish), 555 nucleotides. RefSeq lists it as uncharacterized. The transcript has 2 exons. Lineage: Eukaryota; Viridiplantae; Streptophyta; Magnoliopsida; Brassicales; Brassicaceae. The record is from RefSeq and is a predicted model, not a curated record.
UUCACCCAAAAAAUGUCGACAGUCUCUACUUUUCAUCCUCUCACAAAACUCAGGCCUUUCAAGAAUAACGAGCGAGUUCAAAGUAAGUGUCUACAUUCCUGGAGGCAGACUACAACUUUUGGAGAUACCUAUGAGACGGUCUUAGCAGACGAGUGGGUAAAAAUAUUAAUCUAUACGUUUGUUUUGUUUUAACAUGUUGUUAAACUAAUAUUACCUCGGUUCUUUUUUGGUAGGGAAAGGUGAGCGUCUUUGAUUUUUUUAAGUAUAGAUUGUUUACAUUAGUUGAUGCUUAUGGAUUCUAAAUUUUGUAGGCUUUUAUCUGAUCAGUUACAACUUUUAAGGUUUGCUUAUGGUUAUGGCAAACCUUAGAAAAAAACUAGGAAUGUAGUUUUCAAAGAAGUUUUUGACAAUCUUUAAGAUUUCACACAGUCAUAGGUUCUCUACGGUGGAAGAAUGGUUGCUGUGUCACAAAGUUUUUUAUUACGUAUGCAAACAACAGUUUUUCUUUUUCCCAAAAAUUCUUUCCUAUAAGAACAGAGUUUUUUGACUUCGAGA